AUUUAAGGUCUAAUCUGCCCAUUGAAAAGUUAAAAGGCCGCAGUAAGUUGACUGUGCAAAGGUAGCAUAAUCAAUAGUUUUUUAAUUAAAAGCUUGUAUGAAUGAUUGGACGAAAUAAAAUCUGUCUCUUUAUAAAAUUUAGAAUUUAAUUUUUAAGUUAAAAAGCUUAAAUAUAAAUAAAAGACGAGAAGACCCUAUAGAUUUUUAUUUAAUAUUUAUAAAAAAUAUUAAGAUUUUUUAAUUUUAUAUAUGUUUUUAAAUUUGAUUGGGGUAAUAUAUAGAUUUAAAUAAUUCUUUAUUAAAAAAACAAAAAUUAUUGAUUUUUUGAUCCAUAAUAAUGAUUAUAAGAUUAAAUUACCUUAGGGAUAACAGCGUAAUUUUUUUUGAGAGUUCUUAUUGAUAAAAAAGUUUGCGACCUCGAUGUUGGAUUAAAAUUAGUUCUAAAUGCAGAAGUUUAGAUAUUUGGUCUGUUCGACCAUUAAAUUUUU
Molecule: ribosomal RNA, 488 nt
Filed under: Microdytes pasiricus
Lineage: Eukaryota; Metazoa; Arthropoda; Insecta; Coleoptera; Dytiscidae
Description: partial 16S ribosomal RNA
Rfam family: Bacterial large subunit ribosomal RNA (bases 365-488)
Source: RNAcentral